RNAcentral lists this ribosomal RNA (110 nucleotides) under Nannospalax galili (Upper Galilee mountains blind mole rat). Lineage: Eukaryota; Metazoa; Chordata; Mammalia; Rodentia; Spalacidae. The record is from RNAcentral.
GUUCAUGGUCAACUACUUUCAAUAUACCCCAUCUUGUGUGAUCUUGGAAGCUAAGGAGGGUCAGGCCUUAUUAGGACUUGGAUGGGAGACACAGAAUGAUGCUGUGCCCU